This is a long non-coding RNA of Alligator sinensis (Chinese alligator), 462 nucleotides long. RefSeq lists it as uncharacterized. The record is from RefSeq and is a predicted model, not a curated record. The transcript is spliced from 2 exons. Lineage: Eukaryota; Metazoa; Chordata; Crocodylia; Alligatoridae.
AGGGAGACCCCACGUGCCUGGUGUCGCUGGGCUGCCUUGCGCCGUCCCCCAGGCCAGACCUGGCUCCGUUCCUCGUGGGGCUGCGGGGGCUGCUCUGACUUGUGUUUUCCUUCUCUGCUUCCUUCCUCCAGUGGCGAAAGAAGCGGAUGCGCAGGCUGAAGCGCAAGAGGAGAAAGAUGAGGCAGAGGUCUAAGUAGACAUCUUCUCUGGAGCUGCUGCUGAGGCUUCAAAGUGGAGCAUAGGAUGUCGGAGCCAGGGGUGCUGCUCUGUAAGCCAGGCCGACCUGCUUCUGGGAUGCAGAGAGAUGACAACCCUGUUUCCCAGCAGUCGCCUUGGGCCAAAGUGUGGAAGACCUGGCCCCUGCGGGUGCACCCUGAGCUUGGGUGUUCUGGACUGGCUCCGUUCUUGUAGCUGGAUGUAGCAAGCGUCCCAGAAAUAAACCCAGUUUGGUUGGGAAUUCUA